GGUAGAACAGGCGAUGGAGUCCGCCUAAUCCAACCGCCGAAUCCGUCGGCUGAUGACUCCUGUCUAUGA
RNAcentral lists this non-coding RNA (69 nucleotides) under Halogeometricum pallidum. RNAcentral describes it as "Fluoride sequence". It matches the Rfam family "Fluoride riboswitch aptamer (crcB RNA motif)". The record is from RNAcentral. Lineage: Archaea; Methanobacteriati; Methanobacteriota; Halobacteria; Halobacteriales; Haloferacaceae.